GCGAAAACUUUACAAUGCUGGCAACAGCGAUAAGGGGACCUCGAGUGCCAGGUUACAAAUCUGGCUGUCGUAAUGCCUAAAAAGCAUUUCAUAGCAAGGGCCGGGCAAGACCGGUGCCAGCCGCCGCGGUAACACCGGCGGCUCGAGUGGUAACCGUUAUUAUUGGGUCUAAAGGGUCUGUAGCCGGCCGGAUAAGUCUCUUGAGAAAUCUGGCAGCUUAACUGUCAGGCUUUCAGGAGAUACUGUCUGGCUCGAGGCCGGGAGAGGUGAGAGGUACUUCAGGGGUAGGGGUGAAAUCUUGUAAUCCUUGAAGGACCACCAGUGGCGAAGGCGUCUCACCAGAACGGACCUGACGGCAAGGGACGAAAGCUAGGGGCACGAACC
This 384-nucleotide ribosomal RNA is filed under the name uncultured prokaryote. RNAcentral's name for it is "bacterial SSU rRNA". It matches the Rfam family "Archaeal small subunit ribosomal RNA", at positions 341 to 725 of the family's 1478-position model. The record is from RNAcentral.